Molecule: long non-coding RNA, 926 nt
Filed under: Physcomitrium patens
Lineage: Eukaryota; Viridiplantae; Streptophyta; Bryopsida; Funariales; Funariaceae
Description: long non-coding RNA (PPAT_LNC003274)
Source: RNAcentral
UUUAUAGAUUGAGAUUAUCCAAAAGUCAAAAUUUAUACUUCUAACAAAAUUUGGAUGAUGGUAGCUUCCAAUCAAUCAGUGGUUGGUUUAGUACAUCACCAAAAAUAGUCAUCUGCUUCCAUCAAGUCAAGUACAUCAUGUAUCAUUCAAGGUACUCUGUGCACAACCAUAUGUAGAUAUAGCAUUGGGAAAACGUACUAUAUUCAGUCAUAGUGACAAGCUGUAGUUACAAAGUAGGUAAACAUGCUGGACUGAACUUUAUGUGCUCCUCAUUUUGAGGCCGAGCUUGGGGUUUAGCCUGCAUUGAACGGCAGUUAAUGUGUGGGUUUAGGUGUAUUAGUUCCACACUGCCAGCAAGCUUGGCUCAUGAGACGAAACCAGAGCACCUGGUACAUGCGCAGACCCGAAGCAUCAGCGAUUGAAGACCAAGAGCCCACGCAGGACACCAAGAGCUGGGGCAGGACGCAAACUUGCUGAGAGUCAUGUUUAUUUUCAUGACGCGUAUGGAUCGAAGCUAAAAUCGAAGCAGUUACAUUUUGGCAGGUUCAAGUUGUGUUGCUCAUCACAAUAUUCAGGCAGUGUUGAGCUGUGUUUGAUUAGCAAGCACUAGAAGCAUCAUUCCACUAGCCAAGAUGCACACAACUGUAUUAUUCACCUAUACUAUCCGAUGCAGUUUAGGAAGAACAAGUGGCAAAAUUCAGAUUAAUCAUCUUCAAUAAGGCAACUAGAUCUGUCUGAAGUUGGAACUACAAUAGUACUACGACUUGUAUACUCUUGGAAAGAUUGCAUUGAUCACCUAUUUCAGCACCUGUAGAGUGAGAGAGAAUGAUGAAUUUUUCAGAUCUUUGAACUUUGCAAAAUGAUCUAGUGAAACUGGAAAAUUCUUGCUAGAAAAUGGUAAUAUUCUUGAUUUGUUUACAGAUAAA